This 440-nucleotide ribosomal RNA is filed under the name uncultured bacterium. Its description in RNAcentral is "partial 16S ribosomal RNA". It matches the Rfam family "Bacterial small subunit ribosomal RNA", at positions 339 to 795 of the family's 1533-position model. The record is from RNAcentral.
CUACGGGGGGCUGCAGUAGGGAAUAUUGCACAAUGGACGAAAGUCUGAUGCAGCAACGCCGCGUGUGCGAUGAAGGCCUUCGGGUUGUAAAGCACUUUUCUGAGGGAAGAGGAAGGACGGUACCUCAGGAAUAAGUCUCGGCUAACUACGUGCCAGCAGCCGCGGUAACACGUAGGAGGCAAGCGUUAUCCGGAUUUACUGGGCGUAAAGCGCGUGCAGGCGGUUCGGUAAGGUGGAUGUGAAAGCUCCUGGCUCAACUGGGAGAUGCCGUGCAAUACUGCCGGACUCGAGGACGGUAGAGGGAGGUGGAAUUCCCGGUGUAGUGGUGAAAUGCGUAGAUAUCGGGAGGAACACCAGUGGCGAAAGCGGCCUCCUAGGCCGUUCCUGACGCUAAGACGCGAAAGCAUGGGUAGCGAACGGGAUUAGAUACCCCAGUAGUC